This 468-nucleotide ribosomal RNA is filed under the name uncultured bacterium. RNAcentral's name for it is "partial 16S ribosomal RNA". It matches the Rfam family "Bacterial small subunit ribosomal RNA", at positions 28 to 507 of the family's 1533-position model. The record is from RNAcentral.
GACGAACGCUGGCGGCGUGCUUAACACAUGCAAGUCGAACGGAAAGGCCCUGCUUUUGUGGGGUGCUCGAGUGGCGAACGGGUGAGUAACACGUGAGUAACCUGCCCUUGACUUUGGGAUAACUUCAGGAAACUGGGGCUAAUACCGGAUAGGAGCUCCUGCUGCAUGGUGGGGGUUGGAAAGUUUCGGCGGUUGGGGAUGGACUCGCGGCUUAUCAGCUUGUUGGUGGGGUAGUGGCUUACCAAGGCUUUGACGGGUAGCCGGCCUGAGAGGGUGACCGGCCACAUUGGGACUGAGAUACGGCCCAGACUCCUACGGGAGGCAGCAGUGGGGAAUAUUGCACACUGGGCGGAAGCAUGAUGCAGCAACGCCGCGUGCGGGAUGACGGCCUUAGGGUUGUAACCCGCUUUCGCCUGUGACGAAGCGUGAGUGACGGUAAUGGGUAAAGAAGCACCGGCUAACUACGUG